CCUACGGGGUGCACCAGUGGGGAACAUUGGACAAUGGGCGAAAGCCUGAUCCAGCAAUGCCGCGUGUGUGAAGAAGGUCUUCGGAUUGUAAAGCACUUUCGACGGGGACGAUGAUGACGGUACCCGUAGAAGAAGCCCCGGCUAACUUCGUGCCAGCAGCCGCGGUAAUACGAAGGGGGCUAGCGUUGCUCGGAAUGACUGGGCGUAAAGGGCGCGUAGGCGGUUUAUGCAGUCAGAUGUGAAAUCCCCGGGCUUAACCUGGGAACUGCAUUUGAGACGCAUAGACUAGAGGUCGAGAGAGGGUUGUGGAAUUCCCAGCGUAGAGGUGAAAUUCGUAGAUAUUGGGAAGAACACCGGUGGCGAAGGCGGCAACCUGGCCCG
This 381-nucleotide ribosomal RNA is filed under the name uncultured bacterium. RNAcentral describes it as "bacterial SSU rRNA". It matches the Rfam family "Bacterial small subunit ribosomal RNA", at positions 338 to 736 of the family's 1533-position model. The record is from RNAcentral.